UUGUAGUCUGGAGAAGUGUUUUCCGCGCUGGACCGUGUAUAAGUCUCUUGGAAUAGAGCGUCAUAGAGGGUGAGAAUCCCGUCUUUGACACGGACUGCCAGUGCUUUGUGAUGCGCUCUCAAAGAGUCGAGUUGUUUGGGAAUGCAGCUCAAAAUGGGUGGUAAAUUCCAUCUAAAGCUAAAUAUUGGCGAGAGACCGAUAGCGAACAAGUACCGUGAGGGAAAGAUGAAAAGCACUUUGGAAAGAGAGUUAAACAGUACGUGAAAUUGCUGAAAGGGAAACGCUUGAAGUCAGUCGCGUCGUUUGGAACUCAGCCUUGCUCUUCUGCUUGGUGCACUUUCCGAGCGACGGGCCAGCAUCAAUUUCGACCGUUGGAAAAAGGUCGGAGGAAUGUGGCACUCUUCGGGGUGUGUUAUAGCCUCCGUUCGCAUACGACGGUCGGGAUUGAGGACCGCAGCGCGCCGCAAGGCAGGGGAUCCGUCCCACUUCCGCGCUUAGGAUGCUGGCGUAAUGGCUUUAAGCGACCCGUCUUGAAACACGGACCAAGGAGUCUAACAUGCCUGCGAGUGUUUGGGUGGAAAAACCCGAGCGCGUAAUGAAAGUGAAAGUCGAGACCUCUGUCGUGGAGGGCACCGACGCCCGGACCUGAAGUUCUCUGACGGAUCCGCGGUGGAGCAUGUAUGUUGGGACCCGAAAGAUGGUGAACUAUGCCUGAAUAGGGUGAAGCCAGAGGAAACUCUGGUG
Molecule: ribosomal RNA, 744 nt
Filed under: Polyporus leprieurii
Lineage: Eukaryota; Fungi; Basidiomycota; Agaricomycetes; Polyporales; Polyporaceae
Description: partial large subunit ribosomal RNA
Rfam family: Eukaryotic large subunit ribosomal RNA
Source: RNAcentral